Molecule: ribosomal RNA, 253 nt
Filed under: uncultured bacterium
Lineage: Bacteria
Description: partial 16S ribosomal RNA
Rfam family: Bacterial small subunit ribosomal RNA
Source: RNAcentral
UACGAAGGGGGCUAGCGUUGCUCGGAAUCACUGGGCGUAAAGCGCACGUAGGCGGCUUUGUAAGUUAGAGGUGAAAGCCCAGGGCUUAACCCUGGAAUUGCCUUUAAGACUGCAUCGCUAGAAUCGUGGAGAGGUGAGUGGAAUUCCGAGUGUAGAGGUGAAAUGCGUAGAUAUCAGGAGGAACACCUGCGGUGUAGACGGCUUACUGGACGGUAACUGACGCUGAGGCACGAAAGCGUGGGUAGCAAACAGG